CGCCUGCGAAAGUUUACCGGCUGCCGCGGUGAUGGAUCACCGUUUCAGUGGCAUUUAAAUCCCCGGCGCUCCUCAGUCUAGGUGACGCGCGGUCGCCCCCCCAGGCAGCCCGGGCCGCGGCGGCCGCUGCCAGAGCUGACUUGGAGCACUGGGGCCAAAGGGAGUAGAGAUUGACUUCUGCGCGCGCCCGACUCUGCUCGCCUCCGCCUCCAGGAUGUGGGGGAUGGGAGGCGACCCUCCACUGCCCUUUCCCCACCCAGCCCAGAAAGCUGAACUGGCAAGAGGUCUGUUUUGCCUGAACCCAUCAACAACUGGGAAAUAAUCAACCACACUGAAAAUGGGGAGAGAGGGGGGAGGAGCUGGAAUGUAGACGUUUGAAACAAAUGCGCAUAAGUAAAUGAAUUUUUGAUAACUUGGUUAUUGACCUAGAGACUGAUAGUUUGUUGUUAAGGGAACUCCACUUUACUUAUCCUAGAUCUGGGAGUUUCUGUAGGCACUUUAUUUCUCAACUUUCAAAAGCUUGGGCUGGAGCCAACUCAGGCUGCCCAAUCUUGUUUCUAUCACUAAUUUAACUCUAUGGCUUGAGUCUCAACACUGAAAACCAAAUCCAUUCCCUUGGGGGGGGAGAAAAAAAACUUGCUAGAGCCCUAGCCACUUUCUGGCUUUCUUCUUUGUUGUUGUCUAUUGCAGACUUUGAAUGUGCCACCCUAAUAAAAUAUAUUAAAAUUGAAAAGGUAAA
Molecule: long non-coding RNA, 739 nt
Organism: Mesocricetus auratus (golden hamster)
Lineage: Eukaryota; Metazoa; Chordata; Mammalia; Rodentia; Cricetidae
Exons: 2
Source: RefSeq, a predicted model, not a curated record